GAAGAACGCUGGCGGCGUGCCUAAUACAUGCAAGUCGAGCGGAAGUUGGAGAGCUUGCUCUUCAACUUUAGCGGCGGACGGGUGAGUAACACGUGGGCAACCUGCCCUGCAGAUCGGGAUAACUCCGGGAAACCGGUGCUAAUACCGAAUAGUUUUCGCCACCUCCUGGUGGCGUACGGAAAGACGGUUUCGGCUGUCACUGCAGGAUGGGCCCGAGGCGCAUUAGCUAGUUGGUGGGGUAACGGCCCACCAAGGCAACGAUGCGUAGCCGACCUGAGAGGGUGAUCGGCCACACUGGGACUGAGACACGGCCCAGACUCCUACGGGAGGCAGCAGUAGGGAAUCUUCCGCAAUGGACGAAAGUCUGACGGAGCAACGCCGCGUGAGUGACGAAGGUUUUCGGAUCGUAAAACUCUGUUGUGAGGGAAGAACAAGUACCAACUAACUACUGGUACCUUGACGGUACCUCACCAGAAAGCCACGGCUAACUACGUGCCAGCCGCCGCAGUAA
This 511-nucleotide ribosomal RNA is filed under the name uncultured bacterium. RNAcentral describes it as "partial 16S ribosomal RNA". It matches the Rfam family "Bacterial small subunit ribosomal RNA", at positions 28 to 523 of the family's 1533-position model. The record is from RNAcentral.